Manihot esculenta (cassava) is the source of this 2184-nucleotide RNA transcript. RefSeq lists it as uncharacterized. The record is from RefSeq and is a predicted model, not a curated record. NCBI's taxonomy places the organism in Eukaryota, Viridiplantae, Streptophyta, Magnoliopsida, Malpighiales, Euphorbiaceae. The transcript is spliced from 15 exons.
UAUAAAAAUACACAAUAUUCAAAUAAGUAUUAAAAUUAGAAAAGGUAAGCGACUAUCCUUCUAUGGUAGAAAUUCUGCUCAACUGAAAUUCCCAAACUUUUCAAAUCCAACAGCUCCUCAAUUCAACAAAAUUUCACGAUUCUCUCUGUCUAUAACUGUCCGAGAUUAGGGUGAGGUGAGUUGCAAAGAAAGGGUGGUGUUUAUUGAUGUAAAAGUUAAGUAUGAACAAGAAAUCCAGUUGCUGCUCCAUUUGUGAGAAUUCAAAUCGCGCUUCUAUUUGCGCUGUUUGCGUCAAUUAUAGAUUGAAUGAGUACAAUACCUUGUUGAAAUCAUUGAAGAGUCGUCGUGAUUUAUUGUAUUCAAGGUUGAGUGAAGUUCUUGUUGCCAAGGGGAAGGCAGAUGAUCAAUUAAAUUGGAGAGUGAUUCAAAAUGAGAAGCUUGCAAAUUUGAGGGAGAAGCUCCGUUGUAGUAAGAAGCAACUCAUUCAAGGGAAGGCUAAGAUUGAGAGGAUAUCUUAUGAUUUAAAUAUCAAAUAUGGGGUGCUUGAAUCAGCUCACAGUGUGUUACAAAAAAACCGAGUGGACCAACUGGAGAAGUUCUUCCCAAACCUUAUUUGCACUCAGAGUUUAGGGCAUAUGGCAAUUACCUCUGAACUACUUCAUAAGCAAUCAGUCAUUGUAAAGCAGAUGUGCAAACUGUUUCCCCAACGUCGGGUGAAUAUAGAAGGGGAGAGAAAAGAUGGCACUAAUGGUCAGUAUGAUCAAAUAUGCAAUGCUCGCUUACCAAGAGGACUCGAUCCUCACUCUGUUCCAUCAGAAGAGCUUGCUGCUUCCCUGGGAUACAUGGUACAACUUCUAAAUCUUGUUGUUCGUAACUUGGCUUUCCCUGCACUCCACAACUCGGGCUUUGCAGGUUCUUGCUCUCGAAUAUGGCAACGCGAUUCUUAUUGGAAUGCCUGUCCUUCUUCUCGAAGCAAUGAAUAUCCCCUUUUUAUACCACGCCAAAAUUAUUGCUCUACUAGCAGUGAAAACUCAUGGACUGAUAGAAGCUCAAGUAAUUUUGGUGUGGCCUCAAUGGAAUCAGAGAGAAGGGCCUACCUUGAUUCUUCUCGAAGUAGCAGCUUCAAUUAUUCUUCUGCUUCUCCACAUUCUGUUGAAACGCACAAGGAAUUGCAGAAAGGGAUUUCACUCUUGAAGAAAAGUGUAGCAUGCAUAACAACUUAUGGUUAUAACUUGCUAUGUUUAGAUGUGCCUUCUGAAGCAUCCACUUUUGAAGCCUUUGCAAAAUUGUUGAACACUCUAUCGUCUUCCAAGGAAGUUCGAUCUGGUUUUUCCUUAAAGAUGGCUUGUUCAAGGUCAUGUAAGCAAGUUCAAAAAUUGAAUAAAUCUAUAUGGAAUGUGAAUUCUACCAUUUCAUCAAGCACUUUGCUUGAGAGUGCACAUGCAUUACACUUAACGAAAAACCUAAUUGAUAAUAACCUUCCAAAUUCAGCUACUAGUUUCCUUUAUGGCACUGAGAUAUCUGAUACUGGAAAGAAUGAAGGCCUGAUUGAUGGAUGGGAUCUCGUAGAACAUCCCACUUUCCCUCCUCCGCCAUCACAAGCUGAAGAUAUUGAACACUGGACUCGAGCCAUGUUUAUUGAUGCUACAAAAAAAUAAUCUGAUCCCUGACCACAUGCACUUGCCAGUGAUCCUUAGUUUUCCAAGUUUGUCAGUAUUAUUAAAGCUUCCCCCACUUUGUUUGCUGAAAGAUUAACAAGUAGAUUAGCUACUCUGAUCUAGUCUCGUUUCUGUUGAAAUUGAUUGGUUCAGAGGGAACACAACCCAGAAAACAGGUAGUUUGAAUCUUUGACUUGUAAAGCUUUAACAUGGUUGGCCUUCAUCUCCCUCUCUUGUAAAUACAGAAAAUCCAACAGUAGGUGGGAGAGGACAGGAUGAUCGUUCCAUGGCCUACUGCAAUUCUUUGGAUAGCAUUGUUUAUCUACCUUUUCAAAAGUAGUAAAUGUCUAAAAUUUAAUAAAUUUACAUUUCCAUACCUAGUAUUUAUUCACAUUUAUAAGUUUUUAAUUCUUUCUUAUAAUACUAAUAAUUAUUAUAUUCCUAAGGAUUUACUUUUGUUACUUCUUUUGUAAUGAUAGAAUAAAUUUGGGAGAAAAUAAGUGUUCAUUAAUUUUUGAUUUUGUUA